RNAcentral lists this transfer RNA (54 nucleotides) under Toxocara canis (dog roundworm). It matches the Rfam family "tRNA", at positions 1 to 53 of the family's 71-position model. From Rfam's summary of the family: Transfer RNA (tRNA) molecules are approximately 80 nucleotides in length. Their secondary structure includes four short double-helical elements and three loops (D, anti-codon, and T loops). The record is from Rfam by way of RNAcentral. Lineage: Eukaryota; Metazoa; Nematoda; Chromadorea; Rhabditida; Toxocaridae.
GUGGCAUUAGUUCAGUGGUAGAGCUCCCGCUUCGUACGCGGGAAGACCUGGGUU